GUGAGGAAUUUUCCGCAAUGGGCGAAAGCCUGACGGAGCAAUGCCGCGUGAAGGAUGAAGGCCUAUGGGUUGUAAACUUCUUUUCUCAGAAAAGAAUUAUGACGGUAUCUGAGGAAUAAGCAUCGGCUAACUCUGUGCCAGCAGCCGCGGUAAGACAGAGGAUGCAAGCGAUAUCCGGAAUGAUUGGGCGUAAAGCGUCUGUAGGUUGUUUAAAAAGUAUUCUGUCAAAGAUUAGGGCUUAACCCUAGAUAGGCAGAAUAAAGUUGUAAACUAGAGCUUGGUAGAGGUAGAGGCAAUUCCCGGUGAAGCGGUGAAAUGCGUAGAUAUCGGGAGGAACACCAAAGGCGAAGGCACUCUGCUGGGCCAAUACUAACACUGAGAGACGAAAGCGAGGGGAGCAAAUGGGAUUAGAUACCCCAGUAGUCC
Molecule: ribosomal RNA, 426 nt
Filed under: uncultured bacterium
Lineage: Bacteria
Description: bacterial SSU rRNA
Rfam family: Bacterial small subunit ribosomal RNA
Source: RNAcentral